Molecule: non-coding RNA, 136 nt
Organism: Triticum aestivum (bread wheat)
Lineage: Eukaryota; Viridiplantae; Streptophyta; Magnoliopsida; Poales; Poaceae
Source: Rfam
UUUGUACUCCCUCCGUCCGAAAAUACUUGUCAUCAAAAUGAAUAAAAGGGGAUGUAUCUAGAUGUAUUUUAGUUCUAGAUACAUUCCUUUUUGUCCAUUUUUUAUGACAAAGAUUUUCGGACGGAAGGAGUAUCCA